This 78-nucleotide transfer RNA is filed under the name Methanobacteriota archaeon. RNAcentral describes it as "Euryarchaeota archaeon tRNA-Ile". It matches the Rfam family "tRNA". From Rfam's summary of the family: Transfer RNA (tRNA) molecules are approximately 80 nucleotides in length. The record is from RNAcentral. Lineage: Archaea; Methanobacteriati; Methanobacteriota.
GGGCGCGUAGCUUAGUUUGGCUGGAGCACCCGGCUGAUAACCGGGAGGUCACNGGUUCAAAUCCUGUCGUGCCCACCA